UGGGGGAUAUUGCACAAUGGGCGAAAGCCCGAUGCAGCGACGCCGCGUGGGGGAUGAAGGCCUUCGGGUUGUAAACUUCUUUUGCUCUGAACAAGGCAUGCCUUUGGGGUGUGUUGAGUGUAGGGGUUGAUUAGCGCCGGCUAACUACGUGCCAGCAGCCGCGGUAAUACGUAGGGCGCGAGCGUUGUCCGGAAUUAUUGGGCGUAAAGGGCUUGUAGGUGGCUGGUUGCGUCUGUCGUGAAAGCUCAUGGCUUAACUGUGGGUUUGCGGUGGGUACGGGCUGGCUUGAGUGCAGUAGGGGAGGCUGGAAUUCCUGGUGUAGCGGUGGAAUGCGCAGAUAUCAGGAGGAAUACCGGUGGCGAAGGCGGGUCUCUGGGCUGUUACUGACGCUGAGGAGCGAAAGCGUGGGGAGCGAACAGG
RNAcentral lists this ribosomal RNA (420 nucleotides) under Fusobacteriota bacterium. RNAcentral describes it as "Fusobacteria bacterium partial 16S ribosomal RNA". It matches the Rfam family "Bacterial small subunit ribosomal RNA", at positions 355 to 776 of the family's 1533-position model. Lineage: Bacteria; Fusobacteriati; Fusobacteriota. The record is from RNAcentral.